CUUUCGUGAGAAGGUGCUGGCGCUCCUCACUUCCUCACCACCACCACCGCCACCCCUUUGUGUUAAACUUGUUGCUGUGCUCUCUCUCUCCUCCCUCCCCCCUUUUUGUCCGUUGCGCAUCUUUUAGCUCCACCCUUUCCCCUCUAGCGCCCGCCGUCGAAGCCUGAGACGAUGCCGCAGAACGAGUACAUUGAGCAAGCGCAGAAGCGCUACGGUCGCCGCCUUGACCAUGUCGAGCGCACCCGCAAGCGCGAAGCCCGCAAGGCGCACACGGAUGCGAACUACCUGAAGCGGGUGCGUGGUAUAAAGGCCAAGCUGGCGCAAAAGGCCCGCUACGCGGAAAAGGCUGAAAUCCGCAAGAAGAUCCGUGAGCAUGAGGAGAAGCAGACGACGGAGCGGGUGAAGGACAAGGGGCCCAAGAAUGCUUUGCCCGGCUUCCUGAUGGACCGUAGCGAGGCCGACCGCGCCAAGGUGCUGUCAAACUCGUUGAAGCAGAAGAGGAAGGAGAAAGCCGGCAAGUGGGCCGUGCCGAUCGAGAAGGUCAAGACGGUGUCGGAGGAUGAGAUGCUCAAGGCUGUCACCUCUGGCAAGCGCGGGAAGAAGUCGUGGAAACGCUUGGUGAACAAGGUAACAUUCGUCGGGGAGACCUUCACCCGCCGCAUGCCGAAGAUGGAGCGCUUCAUUCGGCCCAUGGCACUGCGCUUCAAGAAGGCCCACGUCACCCACCCGGAGCUGAAGGCCACCUUCUGCCUCCCCAUCAUCUCUGUCAAGAAGAACCCGCAGGGCAAGAUGUACACCGGCCUUGGCGUCAUCACGAAGGGCUCCGUGAUUGAGGUGAACGUGUCCGAGUUAGGUCUGGUGACGCCGUCUGGUAAGGUAGUGUGGGGCAAGUACGCGCAGGUAACAAACAACCCGGAGAACGACGGCUGCAUCAAUGCCGUGCUGCUCGUCUGAGUUACUUGUCCCAAGCGCGGAGGGACACAAGUGUGACGCACGAUCACGGUGAGGGGGACAAUCCCCCGGAAAGGCAAGUAACAGAUAGAGAGAGAGCAACAAAGUGAAAACAUACGCUGCUCGUUUAGUCACUCACCCUCCACGUGCUCCCUCGCACUGUUCUCACCGAUUCCUUUGUUUUUCCGCUUCUGUACUUUAGAAUGAAUAGGCCGUUGCCGGUGAUUUGAGUCUUCUGUGCUGUCGCUACUUCCCUGUGUGAGCUACUCGCAGCUUGUGCAUGAGGAAGAGGUGGGCUGUGGUGAGCGCCUGCCUUAUCUUUUGAACCGUCUUUUUGUCGACGGUGAAAACAUGAGUGUGGUGGUGGCCGAAACACACGAAAAGGAUGCGAUGCGCAUAUAAUAUACCACCGCGGUGUGAAUGUUUGGGCGUGUGUGUGUGUGCCCGAAGGCGGAAACGAAUUUUCUUGUGCGGCCAUGUGCUGACGGCGGCUGGAUAAGUGUAACUGCUAAAGAAGAUACGGUGCAUGUGCACGGUCCUCGGCGCGUGUGUUCGCUCUUUGUUAUCUCUCCAUAACAUCUUUCGAGUAACUUUCUCACUUUCGUCUGUUUUUGUGUUUUUCUCCUUUCUUUAUCCUGCAAUUGUGUGUGUGUGUGUGUGUGUGUGUGUGUUUGUAGAAGUGUGCGUGUGUUUUUAGGUGAGAAUAUUGUGUAUGCUGUAUGUACGCUCAGCAAAUCGCAUG
This 1693-nucleotide unclassified non-coding RNA is filed under the name Leishmania donovani. RNAcentral describes it as "gene:LdHU3.36.8880(CDS-product:40S_ribosomal_prot ein_S8_putative)". The record is from RNAcentral. Lineage: Eukaryota; Euglenozoa; Kinetoplastea; Trypanosomatida; Trypanosomatidae.